This 119-nucleotide ribosomal RNA is filed under the name Anneissia japonica. The record is from RNAcentral. Lineage: Eukaryota; Metazoa; Echinodermata; Crinoidea; Comatulida; Comatulidae.
AUCUACGGCCAUACUAUUUUGAAAACACCGGUUCUCGUCCGAUCGCCGAAGUUAAGCAACGUCGGGCCCGGUUAGUACUUGGAUGGGUGACCGCCUGGGAAUACCGGGUGCGGUAGAUC